Gallus gallus (chicken) is the source of this 656-nucleotide long non-coding RNA. RefSeq lists it as uncharacterized. NCBI's taxonomy places the organism in Eukaryota, Metazoa, Chordata, Aves, Galliformes, Phasianidae. The transcript has 2 exons. The record is from RefSeq and is a predicted model, not a curated record.
CCAACUCCAUGAGCAGCAAAACAAGGCACAGACGUGGCCAUAGUCUGUUACCAGCACGGAACUCAAGCACCAGCCUGUGGUGUCACAGUGGGUGUCACAGUGGGGCUGUUUCUCCCACCCAUAUUGGUCAGAUGAACAAAAAGCUCCCAGAUACACUUAGAAGAAUAACUUCACGGUAUGGGCUUACAAAUGAUUGGAACCAGAAGCCUUGCUGGCAGACACAACUAUAUCAGAAGUCAACCCUCCAUAAACUGGAUUUUUUUUGUUUGUUUGCAUUAUUGUUAUCUGCCCAUAUAUGCCAAAUAACACUUGGCCAGCUAGUGAGAGGGCUGCUCGGAGAAUUUGUGACUCAGCUGCAAAACUGCAACCUGAAGAUGAGGUAGGAGAGGGCUGGGAAAGCCUCGUCUCUGUCAUCUCUACUCCUGCAGAGGCCUCCUGAGCACGUGACAAAGCUGAUAAGACUGAAGAUGUAUGUGCUGUAGAAGUCAAAAUCAGCAGAUACAACCAACCUGAUGAAACGGGUCAUCUCUAUAUUCUUUCUUCACACAUGGAUUCAUUUGAGGACUUUCUACAUCCGUCUCACUAGUACAGGAAGAGUGGCACUCUGCACAGUGUAGAAGGUCCUCCCACACAUCUUCAGUUUCUGAUUCCGGCCU